CCUACGGGAGGCAGCAGUGAGGAAUAUUGGUCAAUGGGCUUACGCCUGAACCAGCCAAGUCGCGUGAGGGAAGACUGCCCUAUGGGUUGUAAACCUCUUUUGUCAGGGAGCAAUUGGCGCUACGUGUAGCGUUAUCGAGAGUACCUGACGAAAAAGCAUCGGCUAACUCCGUGCCAGCAGCCGCGGUAAUACGGAGGAUGCGAGCGUUAGCCGGAUUUAUUGGGUUUAAGGGGUGCGCAGGGGGCGUGUCAAGUCAGCGGUAAAAUGUCGGGGCUCAACCCCGGCCGGCCGUUGAAACUGGCGUGCUUGAGUUGGAGAGAAGUAUGCGGAAUUCGUGGUGUAGCGGUGAAAUGCAUAGAUAUCACGAAGAACCCCGAUUGCGAAGGCAGCAUACCGGCUCCACACUGACGCUGAGGCACGAAAGCGUGGGUAUCGAACAGGAUUAGAUACCCGUGUAGUC
Molecule: ribosomal RNA, 460 nt
Filed under: uncultured bacterium
Lineage: Bacteria
Description: partial 16S ribosomal RNA
Rfam family: Bacterial small subunit ribosomal RNA
Source: RNAcentral